CCUACGGGAGGCAGCAGUGGGGAAUAUUGGACAAUGGGCGAAAGCCUGAUCCAGCAAUGCCGCGUGAGUGAUGAAGGCCUUAGGGUUGUAAAGCUCUUUUACCAGGGAUGAUAAUGACAGUACCUGGAGAAUAAGCUCCGGCUAACUCCGUGCCAGCAGCCGCGGUAAUACGGAGGGAGCUAGCGUUGUUCGGAAUUACUGGGCGUAAAGCGUACGUAGGCGGUUAUUCAAGUCAGAGGUGAAAGCCUGGAGCUCAACUCCAGAACUGCCUUUGAAACUAGAUAGCUAGAAUCUUGGAGAGGUGAGUGGAAUUCCGAGUGUAGAGGUGAAAUUCGUAGAUAUUCGGAAGAACACCAGUGGCGAAGGCGACUCACUGGACAAGUAUUGACGCUGAGGUACGAAAGCGUGGGGAGCAAACAGGAUUAGAUACCCUGGUAGUCCACGCCGUAAACGAUGAUAACUAGCUGUUCGGCUCUACGAGCUUGUAGUGGCGCGAGACUACGACAUUAAGUUAGUCCGUCCGUCGGGUAGGUACGGUCGGCGAGAAGUUAAACGUACUAAUUAGUUAAGUUAGUUACGGCGUGAGACGUUGCCGACGGACGACGACGAGGGAGGAGG
Molecule: ribosomal RNA, 618 nt
Filed under: uncultured bacterium
Lineage: Bacteria
Description: bacterial SSU rRNA
Rfam family: Bacterial small subunit ribosomal RNA (bases 1-521)
Source: RNAcentral